CCUACGGGAGGCAGCAGUGGGGAAUAUUGCACAAUGGGCGAAAGCCUGAUGCAGCAACGCCGCGUGAGCGAUGAAGGCCUUCGGGUCGUAAAGCUCUGUCCUCCAGGAAGAUAAUGACGGUACUUGAGAAGGAAGCCCCGGCUAACUACGUGCCAGCAGCCGCGGUAAUACGUAGGGGGCUAGCGUUAUCCGGAAUUACUGGGCGGAAAGGGUGCGUGGGUGGUUUCUGAAGUCAGAGGUGAAAGGCUACGGCUCAACCGUAGUAAGCCUUUGAAACUGGGAAACUUGAGUGCAGGAGAGGAGAGUGGAAUUCCUAGUGUAGCGGUGAAAUGCGUAGAGAUUAGGAGGAACACCAGUGGCGAAGGCGGCUCUCUGGACUGUAACUGACACUGAGGCACGAAAGCGUGGGGAGCAAACAGGAUUAGAUACCCUGGUAGUC
This 439-nucleotide ribosomal RNA is filed under the name uncultured bacterium. RNAcentral describes it as "partial 16S ribosomal RNA". It matches the Rfam family "Bacterial small subunit ribosomal RNA", at positions 338 to 795 of the family's 1533-position model. The record is from RNAcentral.